GGUGCCAUGGUGUAGCGGUUACCACUUAGGACUCUGAGUCCUGCGACGGGAGUUCAAAUCUCCCUUGGACCU
Molecule: transfer RNA, 72 nt
Organism: Toxocara canis (dog roundworm)
Lineage: Eukaryota; Metazoa; Nematoda; Chromadorea; Rhabditida; Toxocaridae
Rfam family: tRNA
About the family: Transfer RNA (tRNA) molecules are approximately 80 nucleotides in length. Their secondary structure includes four short double-helical elements and three loops (D, anti-codon, and T loops). Further hydrogen bonds mediate the characteristic L-shaped molecular structure. tRNAs have two regions of fundamental functional importance: the anti-codon, which is responsible for specific mRNA codon recognition, and the 3' end, to which the tRNAs corresponding amino acid is attached (by aminoacyl-tRNA synthetases). tRNAs cope with the degeneracy of the genetic code in two manners: having more than one tRNA (with a specific anti-codon) for a particular amino acid; and 'wobble' base-pairing, i.e. permitting non-standard base-pairing at the 3rd anti-codon position.
Source: Rfam